AUCGUUGCCACACCUCUGUAAUUUCAAGAGUCAAACCCGGCCUCUUUGGGUUGCUUUACCAGCCUCAGGAGUAGAAAAACCAAAGAACAUCUAGCUACAAGUAAGACUAAGAAGAAAGUUGAGAGUGGACACUGCAAACCAUGCAAAAGCCCAAACUCUUGAAUAUUGGAGAUGAGGAUCUAUCACCAGAGGUAUAAGGGAGGGGAUAACAGAGUUUCUGGCUUUUCUCAUGGCCAAAAGGAUCACCAGCCGUCAGAGAGCAACGGUUAUGGACCCUGAGAAUACCAUCCUCUUCAUAGCUUUUCGCAAUUCUUAGAGACAAG
This 323-nucleotide unclassified non-coding RNA is filed under the name Hevea brasiliensis (rubber tree). The record is from RNAcentral. Lineage: Eukaryota; Viridiplantae; Streptophyta; Magnoliopsida; Malpighiales; Euphorbiaceae.